This 253-nucleotide ribosomal RNA is filed under the name uncultured bacterium. RNAcentral's name for it is "partial 16S ribosomal RNA". It matches the Rfam family "Bacterial small subunit ribosomal RNA", at positions 524 to 776 of the family's 1533-position model. The record is from RNAcentral.
UACGUAGGAUCCAAGCGUUAAUCGGAAUUAUUGGGCGUAAAGAAUUUGUAGGCUGUUGUGUAAGUUGAUUGUGAAAGCCCCGGGCUUAACCUGGGAACGGCACUCAAGACUACAUGGCUAGAGUAUAUAAGAGGCAAGUGGAAUUCCUAGUGUAGCAGUGAAAUGCGUAGAUAUUAGGAGGAACACCGGUGGCGAAGGCGACUUGCUGGGAUAAUACUGACGCUGAGAAAUGAAAGCGUGGGGAGCAAACGGG